Molecule: long non-coding RNA, 213 nt
Filed under: Homo sapiens (human)
Lineage: Eukaryota; Metazoa; Chordata; Mammalia; Primates; Hominidae
Description: HSALNT0121909
Source: RNAcentral
GGCUCGUUGGCUUUACGGAGACGCGCGGAGCACCCUCAAGGUGCCACACGCUCGCCUGCUCCCUGUUCCUACAUCCUGGGCGUCUUCCCAGGCUGUCAUAUAACUCCUGAGAAUAGUGGUUCUUAACUCUAGAGAAGAACUGAAGCUGAAAAAUCUACCUGCCUAAGGACUCAUAACUUGUAAGAAUAGUUGUGAAACCUCACUGGAGGAACU